This 484-nucleotide ribosomal RNA is filed under the name uncultured bacterium. RNAcentral's name for it is "partial 16S ribosomal RNA". It matches the Rfam family "Bacterial small subunit ribosomal RNA", at positions 30 to 507 of the family's 1533-position model. The record is from RNAcentral.
AUUGAACGCUGGCGGCAUGCCUUACACAUGCAAGUCGAACGGUAACAGGUCUUUCGGGAUGCUGACGAGUGGCGAACGGGUGAGUAAUACAUCGGAACGUGCCUAGUAGUGGGGGAUAACUACUCGAAAGAGUGGCUAAUACCGCAUGAGAUCUAUGGAUGAAAGCAGGGGACCUUUGGGCCUUGUGCUACUAGAGCGGCCGAUGGCAGAUUAGGUAGUUGGUGGGAUAAAAGCUUACCAAGCCUACGAUCUGUAGCUGGUCUGAGAGGACGAUCAGCCACACUGGAACUGAGACACGGCCCAGACUCCUACGGGAGGCAGCAGUGGGGAAUUUUGGACAAUGGGCGCAAGCCUGAUCCAGCAAUGCCGCGUGCAGGAUGAAGGCCUUCGGGUUGUAAACUGCUUUUGUACGGAACGAAAAGUCUUGGGUUAAUACCCUGGGAUCAUGACGGUACCGUAAGAAUAAGCACCGGCUAACUACGUG